RNAcentral lists this ribosomal RNA (466 nucleotides) under uncultured bacterium. Its description in RNAcentral is "partial 16S ribosomal RNA". It matches the Rfam family "Bacterial small subunit ribosomal RNA", at positions 28 to 507 of the family's 1533-position model. The record is from RNAcentral.
GACGAACGCUGGCGGCGCGCCUAACACAUGCAAGUCGAACGAGCGAGAGAGAGCUUGCUUUCUUGAGCGAGUGGCGAACGGGUGAGUAACGCGUGAGGAACCUGCCUCAAAGAGGGGGACAACAGUUGGAAACGACUGCUAAUACCGCAUAAGCCCACGGUGCCGCAUGGCACAGAGGGAAAAGGAGCAAUCCGCUUUGAGAUGGCCUCGCGUCCGAUUAGCUAGUUGGUGAGGUAACGGCCCACCAAGGCGACGAUCGGUAGCCGGACUGAGAGGUUGAACGGCCACAUUGGGACUGAGACACGGCCCAGACUCCUACGGGAGGCAGCAGUGGGGAAUAUUGCACAAUGGGGGAAACCCUGAUGCAGCGACGCCGCGUGGAGGAAGAAGGUCUUCGGAUUGUAAACUCCUGUUGUUGGGGAAGAUAAUGACGGUACCCAACAAGGAAGGGACGGCUAACUACGUG